This 1685-nucleotide long non-coding RNA is filed under the name Olea europaea subsp. europaea. The record is from RNAcentral. Lineage: Eukaryota; Viridiplantae; Streptophyta; Magnoliopsida; Lamiales; Oleaceae.
CCCCACUUUCCUAACCUCUCCAAUUGACAAUUACCAAACGUAAAGCUUACCGGAAGCAAAAAUCAAGAAAGGGGAAGGAAAAAAAUAAAUCCGAUUUUUGAUGAAAUUUGGAAGUGUAAAUACAGUUCGACGAACACUCAUAAUUCGAUUGUGAAUGAGAGCUGCCAAUUGUAAGAUUAAACAGCUGCUUCAGUUUCCAAGGUACAACUUUCUUCUUCGAUUGAUUUUCUAUCAGCAAUUAUUUUAUCAUAUAUAAUGCGUAUAUUCUAUGAUUUCUAUCAGCAACACAUUAGGGUUUUGACACAUUUCUGCUCCUAGUUUCGUCUAUAGUUUGAUCUUUUUGAUGUUUCCUCUAUUGGGUUUCAAGUAUGCAAUUUGGAAAAUUCAUUUACUAAGAAAAAUUUCUCUUUCCUAAUUAGCAAAAAGUUUAUGGUGAUCAAAAUGGGUGGUGAUAAUAUUCAAAAUGGAACAUCUGUGCUGUUCUUGGUUGGAUAAUUAUAUUAAUUACCUCGUCAUUAAUAAUUAUUGGUGACCUUAGAAUAGGCACCAGUACUCAAGUCCCGCAUUCAUUACUUCCGUAAACGAAUUGUGAUCUAUGUAUACUAAUUGAUCUAUUCUGUAGUAUCUUAAAAUAUUUUAAAGGAGGGUUUUCUAUUUCACAGAUCUUGGUUUUGUUUCAUUUCCCACUAAAUAUGAAAUAAUAUCCUUCUAUAAAGUUGAGAGGGAAACUGUAUACUUACAAUUUUUUGUGUAGAUUGAAGUUGCUAUCUUGGUUCACUUUUGAUGCUAUAGUUUUAAAAUCAUUAGGUAAAAUUGCAGUUAUUGAACGUAUAGUAUUUUAGUAGCAAGUUUGUCACAACCAUUAACACGAGACUUUGGGUUUAAAAAGACAAUUUCUGUAACAAAAUUCAUUAAAAAGUCAGUGUUUUACUAAAAAAUUUUGGUUCUUGGCCGUGCCACGCCACCCUAGCCGAUCUAUCUCCCAUCUCUCCCCCAAACUUUGGUUCUUGGCCGUGCUUCCCCGUCUGUACCAUGGCUGCCAAACUUGAGAGACUAAAAAGUAGCACAAAGCUGGCUGACAAAUUUUCUGACUUCUGUUUUCACUGAAGCAUUAUUGAGGGGAUCAUCAUCUUAAGAGGUUUUGGAUUGCAUUUUCAGGUCUUUGAGUUUGCAUCUGCACCCUUAAGCAGUGGACCAGAUUAUUGAAGAUUACAAUCAUGUAAGUUUUGAUUGGAAGGUGAAAAAUGUAACGUAAUGGGCUGAACAUGGAUUGUUAAACUAUUAAGUCAUUUAUCCUGACAAAACUAGCCACUAUUCUCUACCAUACUAUAUUGACCUGUUUAAGUUUAAAUGUAGAAUCAUUUGUGUAAAGGCCAUAACAAUGUCCUGCAUUUUAUCACUUGAAACCCCUUCUUCUCCGAAUGCCGGCAACAGUUUUAAACUAGAAUUAUUUUUUCUCCUUUGGUAGGGGGAGGGGGAGAGUUUCUUGAGAAAAUGGUGUAACUGACAUUUAACGAAUUUUUGGAAGGAAACAUCUACCAGGACUACUUGUUCAACAGCUGUGGAAGGUUAAGGACAAAUAUGCUCCAAAAGGUGGGGAUCAACUUGCUACUAGAGCUGUAGGUUGGGAACCAACGGUGCAAAUUUUUGUAAUCAUUGUCUAGUUCAUUCUACUAUCUAAUAGG